Bufo bufo (common toad) is the source of this 284-nucleotide long non-coding RNA. RefSeq lists it as uncharacterized. The record is from RefSeq and is a predicted model, not a curated record. NCBI's taxonomy places the organism in Eukaryota, Metazoa, Chordata, Amphibia, Anura, Bufonidae. The transcript is spliced from 3 exons.
CUGGACCCUAGGAGCUGACAGAUGCGCACUCCCCUGGAGUCUGGUCACCUGGCAGUGAUGGAGAAUAGGAAAGGAGCUACAGGCAGGAGGAAGAAACAGAAAUGAUGAAGCCUCUGAAGACAGCAAUCUGGAUCUGCAGAAAUGGCAAUGCAAUGCUUCCUUUGAAGCAUGUAACAGAAAUCAGCUCGAGCCAAGGCUAUUUUCAUAACGCUGUGGAACUUUUAUAAUUGGGGAAAAACACUCAGUCUUUUUGGGUAUGAGUCUAUUAGCAUGGCACAUUUUGA